UCAUGGCUCAGGAUGAACGCUGGCGGCGUGCUUAACACAUGCAAGUCGAACGAUGAUCCUCAGCUUGCUGGGGGGAUUAGUGGCGAACGGGUGAGUAACACGUGAGUAACCUGCCCUUGACUCUGGGAUAAGCCUGGGAAACUGGGUCUAAUACCGGAUAUGACUCCUCAUCGCAUGGUGGGGGGUGGAAAGCUUUUUGUGGUUUUGGAUGGACUCGCGGCCUAUCAGCUUGUUGGUGGGGUAAUGGCCUACCAAGGCGACGACGGGUAGCCGGCCUGAGAGGGUGACCGGCCACACUGGGACUGAGACACGGCCCAGACUCCUACGGGAGGCAGCAGUGGGGAAUAUUGCACAAUGGGCGCAAGCCUGAUGCAGCGACGCCGCGUGAGGGAUGACGGCCUUCGGGUUGUAAACCUCUUUCAGUAGGGAAGAAGCGAAAGUGACGGUACCUGCAGAAGAAGCGCCGGCUAACUACGUGCCAGCAGCCGCGGUAAUACGUAGGGCGCAAGCGUUAUCCGGAAUUAUUGGGCGUAAAGAGCUCGUAGGCGGUUUGUCGCGUCUGCCGUGAAAGUCCGGGGCUCAACUCCGGAUCUGCGGUGGGUACGGGCAGACUAGAGUGAUGUAGGGGAGACUGGAAUUCCUGGUGUAGCGGUGAAAUGCGCAGAUAUCAGGAGGAACACCGAUGGCGAAGG
This 692-nucleotide ribosomal RNA is filed under the name Arthrobacter oryzae. Its description in RNAcentral is "bacterial SSU rRNA". It matches the Rfam family "Bacterial small subunit ribosomal RNA", at positions 17 to 721 of the family's 1533-position model. The record is from RNAcentral. Lineage: Bacteria; Bacillati; Actinomycetota; Actinomycetes; Micrococcales; Micrococcaceae.